RNAcentral lists this ribosomal RNA (254 nucleotides) under uncultured Lysobacterales bacterium. RNAcentral's name for it is "uncultured Xanthomonadales bacterium partial 16S ribosomal RNA". It matches the Rfam family "Bacterial small subunit ribosomal RNA", at positions 504 to 757 of the family's 1533-position model. Lineage: Bacteria; Pseudomonadati; Pseudomonadota; Gammaproteobacteria; Lysobacterales. The record is from RNAcentral.
UGUGCCAGCAGCCGCGGUAAUACGAAGGGUGCAAGCGUUACUCGGAAUUACUGGGCGUAAAGCGUGCGUAGGUGGUUCGUUAAGUCUGAUGUGAAAGCCCUGGGCUCAACCUGGGAACUGCAUUGGAUACUGGCGAUCUGGAGUGCGGUAGAGGGUAGCGGAAUUCCCGGUGUAGCAGUGAAAUGCGUAGAUAUCGGGAGGAACAUCCGUGGCGAAGGCGGCUACCUGGACCAGCACUGACACUGAGGCACGAA